This is a long non-coding RNA of Carassius auratus (goldfish), 844 nucleotides long. RefSeq lists it as uncharacterized. Lineage: Eukaryota; Metazoa; Chordata; Actinopteri; Cypriniformes; Cyprinidae. The record is from RefSeq and is a predicted model, not a curated record. The transcript has 3 exons.
GAAAAGAAAGACGGAGGUGUACAUAUCGGUUUAUUUCAGGAACUUUUUGCUCCACGUGCACAACAUGUCAUUUAGACAUUUGCAACAAGAAACCGCGCCAAAAGGACUCCGCGGCGCGCAUGUCCGAGUGAGGCCGACAAACCUGUGCAACACCGACCUCCAGAUGGCGCCACGACACUAAAACUUUUCCUGCAACUGGACACCAUCUGCGGAAGGAUGAGUGAGAGGAAGUCCUUAAGGAACUAAACUACCACUCCCACACCGCAUCACUUCCCACACCACAGAGAGAUGCCCUCUGAUCCAAACAACAGCUCCCACAAUGCAUCAGUGCCUGACGUGCGUCACAUCCCCCUCUAUGUGGUUUCCGAACUAGAGAUGUUCUCUACAAUUGUGAGUCACGCUUACACACCUACGUGCGCACGCAUUAAUCAGGAUGAAGAUCGGUGUCAAUGUGCCAUGCGCAAAAAAACAAAGCACACAGCACAUCCCCAGAUCAACCUGAAUGCAACAUUUAAUGUUAGAUUAAAGCAGUCGGACUCAUUAAAAAGAGGAACUUGCUGUUGUGUUAUCAGCAAGAUAACUGGGUGGAUAAAAAUUAGAAAAAAAUUAAUUAAUUAACAAAUGCUGACAAACAACCACAGAUACAUAUCUUGUAAGUUCAAGUAAUAAACAACAUGCAAAAAAAUAGAAGGCGAAGAUAAAAACUAUUACAUGUUCUCUAUUGUUUAAAAUAACUGUUUUCUGUUUGAAUAUUUUAAAAUGUAAUUUUUCCUGUAACAAGUUUUUAGUAUCAUUACUCCAAUCAGUGUCUCUUCAGAAAUCAUUCAGAUUCUGAUUUGGUGCU